This is a non-coding RNA of Dermatophagoides farinae (American house dust mite), 497 nucleotides long. The record is from RefSeq and is a predicted model, not a curated record. Lineage: Eukaryota; Metazoa; Arthropoda; Arachnida; Sarcoptiformes; Pyroglyphidae.
AUGAAAUCUUGCUUGUAGACUGCAUUCAUUCGACUGAUUUUUUCAUUUUUUUUUGUUUCCAUAAUCUACUCAUCAUUUUGUAUUUGGUCAAUUUGUAUUUAAGUGUCAAGAAUUUAUGCCGUUGUUUAUUUCCUGUAUUUAUGCCUGUUCAAACUCAACUCAACUCUAUAUUAUAUUAUUUGCAAACCAUUGAAUCCAAAUUCCAAAGUCACUUGCUAUUCUAAAAAAAAAUGGAGCAAUAACAACAUCAUCAUCAAAAUCGUAGGGUUCGCACGAAGCAUUAACUUUUGACUGGAUACCAAGUAAGGGGGCAGUGCAGAAAAUAUUUGAGGCUACGCCGCGAAAAGCUGUACCGGGCUCGUUUUUUUUUAUUUUUCGUGCUCGAAAAAGUCAAAACGUUGGACAACAUUCAAUUGUCAGAAGAUUCACGAAUAAUUGAAAUGAAUGAAGAAAAUUUUCAAUCCGAUCAAGAUCAUCAUAAUCAAUUUAAUGGUGAA